Long non-coding RNA from Nicotiana attenuata, 527 nucleotides. RefSeq lists it as uncharacterized. The transcript has 3 exons. NCBI's taxonomy places the organism in Eukaryota, Viridiplantae, Streptophyta, Magnoliopsida, Solanales, Solanaceae. The record is from RefSeq and is a predicted model, not a curated record.
UAUAUUAAGUGUAGGGGCGUCUGCUAUUUUAUCUCAAAAAACCCUACAAAACUUCCCCUUUUCUCAGACCCAAAUAACUGAUGCCGUCGUCUCGCAUUCAUGAAAUUGAGAGGACAAAGCCUUGGAAUUGUUGCACUAGAUAACCAUAAGCUCAUUAUUCAUGAAGGACUUGCAAUGUUGGAUCAAGGAGAUGACAUUCUGCUUUUCAGUUGAUAUGCAAAAAUUAGAGUCAAGAAGAGGACAGUCCUAUGCAAAGGGUGUUGCCAUAGAGAUUCAAGUUGCCUCUUUGUACGGAGGCUCACUAAGUGAACUGUUGUGAAUCAGUGUUCUUGUGGUCGGCAUUGGUCUUUAUUUAUAGUUAGCAUUCAGCUUGUUCUGAAGAUGAACAAGGAUAAAAAUUUAUAUUCUAUGAGAACUAUUACCGAAUGAUGGUGUAAGAUUUGAAAAAAUAAUAUAUAAGUGACCCUUUUGUUUUAAUUCAAAUUUCUUUUGUAGGGUAUGAUAUUGUAAUAUCAAAAUUAUAUGAA